Molecule: ribosomal RNA, 891 nt
Filed under: Escherichia coli
Lineage: Bacteria; Pseudomonadati; Pseudomonadota; Gammaproteobacteria; Enterobacterales; Enterobacteriaceae
Description: partial 23S ribosomal RNA
Rfam family: Bacterial large subunit ribosomal RNA
Source: RNAcentral
ACUCAGUGAAAUUGAACUCGCUGUGAAGAUGCAGUGUACCCGCGGCAAGACGGAAAGACCCCGUGAACCUUUACUAUAGCUUGACACUGAACAUUGAGCCUUGAUGUGUAGGAUAGGUGGGAGGCUUUGAAGUGUGGACGCCAGUCUGCAUGGAGCCGACCUUGAAAUACCACCCUUUAAUGUUUGAUGUUCUAACGUGGACCCGUAAUCCGGGUUGCGGACAGUGUCUGGUGGGUAGUUUGACUGGGGCGGUCUCCUCCUAAAGAGUAACGGAGGAGCACGAAGGUUGGCUAAUCCUGGUCGGACAUCAGGAGGUUAGUGCAAUGGCAUAAGCCAGCUUGACUGCGAGCGUGACGGCGCGAGCAGGUGCGAAAGCAGGUCAUAGUGAUCCGGUGGUUCUGAAUGGAAGGGCCAUCGCUCAACGGAUAAAAGGUACUCCGGGGAUAACAGGCUGAUACCGCCCAAGAGUUCAUAUCGACGGCGGUGUUUGGCACCUCGAUGUCGGCUCAUCACAUCCUGGGGCUGAAGUAGGUCCCAAGGGUAUGGCUGUUCGCCAUUUAAAGUGGUACGCGAGCUGGGUUUAGAACGUCGUGAGACAGUUCGGUCCCUAUCUGCCGUGGGCGCUGGAGAACUGAGGGGGGCUGCUCCUAGUACGAGAGGACCGGAGUGGACGCAUCACUGGUGUUCGGGUUGUCAUGCCAAUGGCACUGCCCGGUAGCUAAAUGCGGAAGAGAUAAGUGCUGAAAGCAUCUAAGCACGAAACUUGCCCCGAGAUGAGUUCUCCCUGACUCCUUGAGAGUCCUGAAGGAACGUUGAAGACGACGACGUUGAUAGGCCGGGUGUGUAAGCGCAGCGAUGCGUUGAGCUAACCGGUACUAAUGAACCGUGAGG